RNAcentral lists this ribosomal RNA (683 nucleotides) under Flavobacterium sp. B1178_1. RNAcentral describes it as "bacterial SSU rRNA". It matches the Rfam family "Bacterial small subunit ribosomal RNA", at positions 70 to 754 of the family's 1533-position model. Lineage: Bacteria; Pseudomonadati; Bacteroidota; Flavobacteriia; Flavobacteriales; Flavobacteriaceae. The record is from RNAcentral.
UAUGCUUCUUCGGGAGCAGAGACCGGCGCACGGGUGCGUAACGCGUAUGCAAUCUACCUUUCACAGAGGGAUAGCCCAGAGAAAUUUGGAUUAAUACCUCAUAGUAUAGCAGUUUCGCAUGAAACCACUAUUAAAGUCACAACGGUGAAAGAUGAGCAUGCGUCCCAUUAGCUAGUUGGUAAGGUAACGGCUUACCAAGGCAACGAUGGGUAGGGGUCCUGAGAGGGAGAUCCCCCACACUGGUACUGAGACACGGACCAGACUCCUACGGGAGGCAGCAGUGAGGAAUAUUGGACAAUGGGCGCAAGCCUGAUCCAGCCAUGCCGCGUGCAGGAUGACGGUCCUAUGGAUUGUAAACUGCUUUUAUACGAGAAGAAACCCUCCGACGUGUCGGAGCUUGACGGUAUCGUAAGAAUAAGGAUCGGCUAACUCCGUGCCAGCAGCCGCGGUAAUACGGAGGAUCCAAGCGUUAUCCGGAAUCAUUGGGUUUAAAGGGUCCGUAGGCGGUCAGGUAAGUCAGUGGUGAAAGCCCAUCGCUCAACGGUGGAACGGCCAUUGAUACUGUCUGACUUGAAUUAUUAGGAAGUAACUAGAAUAUGUAGUGUAGCGGUGAAAUGCUUAGAGAUUACAUGGAAUACCAAUUGCGAAGGCAGGUUACUACUAAUGGAUUGACGCUGAUGGAC